GAUGAAGAACGCAGCGAAAUGCGAUAAGUAAUGCGAAUUGCAGAAUUCCCGUGAGUCAUCGAAUCUUUGAACGCACCUUGCGCUCCUUGGUAUUCCGAGGAGCAUGCCUGUUUGAGUGUCAUGAAAUUCUCAACCUUUUCAGCUUUCUUUGUUGAUCAGGCUUGGAUGUGGGAGUAUGCGGGCUUCUCAGAAGUCGGCUCUCCUGAAAUGCAUUAGCGGGACCUUUGUUGCCUGGCUUUGGUGUGAUAAUUAUCUACGCCAUUGUGGUCAAGCAGCUUAAAAUGAGGUUUCAGCUUCUAACCGUCUCCCCUGAGACAACUUUUUGACAAUUUGACCUCAAAUCAGGUAGGACUACCCGCUGAACUUAAGCAUAUCAAUAAGCGGAGGA
This 388-nucleotide unclassified non-coding RNA is filed under the name soil metagenome. Its description in RNAcentral is "partial contains 5.8S ribosomal RNA, internal transcribed spacer 2, and large subunit ribosomal RNA". The stretch from base 1 to 121 matches the Rfam family "5.8S ribosomal RNA", at positions 35 to 154 of the family's 154-position model. The record is from RNAcentral.